RNAcentral lists this long non-coding RNA (259 nucleotides) under Gossypium raimondii (Peruvian cotton). RNAcentral's name for it is "long non-coding RNA (GRAI_LNC007941)". The record is from RNAcentral. Lineage: Eukaryota; Viridiplantae; Streptophyta; Magnoliopsida; Malvales; Malvaceae.
GGGAUUAAAUUUAUAUGUUUAAAAUCAUUAAUGAGUCUAUUUUCAAAAAUAAACAAACAAGAGCAUCAUUUGAAUUCUGUACAAUGAGAUAAUUAAUUUUUAGUGAAGAGGGGUCGGAAAUGUCUAACAGUGAAACAUGGGAAACUUUAAAGAAUAAACUGUACUUAUUGGCUGAACAAAAAAAUUUUAAAAUUUUAUGGUAAGAAUAUAUAUGAGUCUAGUUUCAGGGAAAAUUAGCGGAUCUUAAUUUAGAGUUCCC